Molecule: non-coding RNA, 45 nt
Organism: Schistosoma mattheei
Lineage: Eukaryota; Metazoa; Platyhelminthes; Trematoda; Strigeidida; Schistosomatidae
Source: Rfam
AUCUAGCUGACGAAUCCAAAAUAGAACGAAACGCACGUUUUGGAU